AUCACUUCUCUGCUUUUUGGCUAAAAUUAAGUGUAGUAUCUAUCCUUAUCAGUUUAGUAUCUGAUAUGUUCUCUAUACGAGGACGAUAUAUUAAAUGGAUCUUUGGAGCUAGGAUAUGGAAUAGGAGCUUGCUCCAUCCACCCCACACAUCAACCUGGUGUUGCAGUACCUCCAAGAACAGUGCACCUCCU
Molecule: small nuclear RNA, 191 nt
Organism: Octodon degus (degu)
Lineage: Eukaryota; Metazoa; Chordata; Mammalia; Rodentia; Octodontidae
Gene: U2
Rfam family: U2 spliceosomal RNA
About the family: U2 is a small nuclear RNA (snRNA) component of the spliceosome (involved in pre-mRNA splicing). Complementary binding between U2 snRNA (in an area lying towards the 5' end but 3' to hairpin I) and the branchpoint sequence (BPS) of the intron results the bulging out of an unpaired adenosine, on the BPS, which initiates a nucleophilic attack at the intronic 5' splice site, thus starting the first of two transesterification reactions that mediate splicing.
Source: Ensembl